GAGCUACUCUCUUCAUUCGGAAUUACUUGUCUUAGAUUUAUCUAGAUACGAAUGUAUUUAGCACUAAAAUAAGUCUAGAUACAUAUCUAGACAAAUCCAAGACAAGUAAUUUAAAACGGAGGGAGUACUUC
Triticum aestivum (bread wheat) is the source of this 131-nucleotide non-coding RNA. The record is from Rfam. NCBI's taxonomy places the organism in Eukaryota, Viridiplantae, Streptophyta, Magnoliopsida, Poales, Poaceae.